RNAcentral lists this ribosomal RNA (396 nucleotides) under uncultured bacterium. RNAcentral describes it as "partial 16S ribosomal RNA". It matches the Rfam family "Bacterial small subunit ribosomal RNA", at positions 523 to 918 of the family's 1533-position model. The record is from RNAcentral.
AUACGUAGGGAGCGAGCGUUGUCCGGAAUUACUGGGUGUAAAGGGAGCGUAGGCGGGACGGCAAGUCAGAUGUGAAAUACAUGGGCUCAACCCAUGGGCUGCAUUUGAAACUGCUGUUCUUGAGUGAAGUAGAGGUAAGCGGAAUUCCUGGUGUAGCGGUGAAAUGCGUAGAUAUCAGGAGGAACACCGGUGGCGAAGGCGGCUUACGGGGCUUUUACGGACGAUGAGGCUCGAAAGCGUGGGGAGCAAACAGGAUUAGAUACCCGGGUAGUCCACGCGGUAAACGUGGAUCACUAGGGGUGGGGGGUCUGAGCCCUUUCGUGCUGCAGUUAACGCAAUAAGUGAUCCGCCUGGGGAGUACGGCCGCAAGGUUGAAACUUAAAGGAAUUGGCGGGG